This 6075-nucleotide long non-coding RNA is filed under the name Podarcis lilfordi (Lilford's wall lizard). The record is from RNAcentral. Lineage: Eukaryota; Metazoa; Chordata; Lepidosauria; Squamata; Lacertidae.
GGAAACCCCUCAUUAUGACUGGAGGACGUUUCUUGAUGUGGUUGGAAAACUCGACUGAACCAUAUCAGUGCCAUCUCAUACGUGGCGAUAGUAUUUUAGGCCCAAGCCAGACAUUCAGAAGAAAAGGUUGAAAACUGCAGGGUAUGUUCAUUUGGUAACUAUGGUAAACACGCUGAAAGCUCCAAACUUGGGUAAAAGCCACAUUAUUGGAAAAUGGCUGAUUGGUUUAUGUUUGCAUAAAAGCAUCAAGUAUAUCUCUGAAACUAACAAGCUGAAUUGUAUGUUCUUACAUUCAGAAUGGUCAUAAGUGCUCAGAGAACAAUUUUGGAUAGGAUUUUAAUUUUCAAGAUAUGGCAGCGGUGGGCUUUCUCUGUUUUUCAAAGCUCUCAACAUAAACACACCCUGCAGUUUCAAGCUUUUUCUUCUAAAUUUCUGAGGCAAACACUUAUUUCACUGAACUUGUAAGAUAACUAUACAAAGAAGCAGAGAUACUCACACAGUUUUUGUUCCUGUUACACUGCUUGGAUACUGUACGAAUUAGAUCUCAGUCUGCAAGACUUCGUAUCCAUUUGUUUUCAGUCCUCCUAAUAAGUUAUAUGUGGGUUGUAUCCAAUGUUACUCAGUUAGACCCAUUCAAAUUAAUGGACACGCCCAAUUUAGGUCCAUUCAUUUGAAUGGGUCUAACCAGGGCUAUUUUCUGGGGAGACGCAGGGAUACGCAUACCCCUAAACAUUUUAUGAAUCGUUGUACUUUUGUCCAUUUACUGUCUUUAUUUUUCCCAAAUUGAAAUAUAAAAUGGUGAUUUUCUUGAGUCAAAAUGAGAGUACCCCUAAACAUUUUUUAAGAAAAAAAGCACUGGGUCUAACUCUCAGUAAAACUUAGUUGUGUUCAACCUCAUGUUUUCCAACCAACUACUGUAUUUUUACGGAUCAGUUCACAAGCUUUUAGUUCUGAGCUGGUAUCUGACACAAAUUCACGAGGGAAACUGCCAUUUGCAAAUAGUUCAAUCUCUCUCUCUAUUUCAUUGUUAUGCAUCAUCCCAUUUAUUAAUUCCCAGUAGAAAGCGGGCUUUUAAUGGAAGAUUUCUGAAGCCAGUUUGAUGUGACGUAACCCAUGCUUUUUUCCUCCCCCAAAUUCCAUCUUAAAACAUGUUCCUUUUCAACUGCUCUGCCUCUGAUACUGAACUGGAUGCUAAGAAACUGUUCACAUAAUGAGAAGAAGAAGGAAAUCCAUUAUGAAGAGGCCACCCCAGACCCUAGUUCUUGUUUUCCAGAAGCAGCAAUUAAGAUAUUAUAGUACGGUCAACCCUGAAUAGUAUUUAAGUUGUAGUUGGCAGUGUUUUGAGAAAUAACCCACUCCACUUUUAGUGUCCUGUCAGGCUCUAAAAUGAAUUUAUUUUUUUUGAACAAAUUAAUGAUAGGGAGAAGCGCCCAGAGCUGGCUGGCCCUUGAAGCUGAUGUCCCUCCCUGGGAUCCAAUACAGGAAACCAUAUUCUGACAAAAACUGCAAGAGAUUUACUUCUACCCUGAUUGACAAGAGAGUGGAGUCAAGGAGCUAGUGGCAUGAUGUAGAAAAGGGGCCAUCAAAGAAAUUGUCACUAACCAUCACCUAACUCUCCCCUGAUAUACCAGCUGUCUCAACAAGCCAGGGUCUGACCUUAGAGGCAUGGAAGGCACAGAAGACACAUCAGUAGGGAAAGUAAACAAGAACUCUUCAUUUGUUUUAAACCAGAGCAGCCAAAGGAAACUUCUCACUCUAUCCAGCUACAACUAUGUCCAGUGCCACCUAGUGAACAGAUUAUAUGAUUUCUAAACACAUAGAAACUGACCUUUGACAGUUCUCUCCUGAGGGACUUUUUGUGAAAAAAGGAAGCCUGCAUUUCCAGUGGAACAUGGUGGGUUCUUUAGAAGGCAUCUAGCCUCACCCUGACGAAUAUGCAUGAACAGUAAUACAGGAAAGUUCUUAAGUGAAGGAAAGUAUCUCAUUGCAAGUAAAUGAGAAAUAAAGAAGACCUAUCUACCCGUGAACCCAUGGUCUUUUCCUGGGGGACCAUGGAUCCACCUGAUACCAGUCCUUACACAUGUCUGUUUCUCCGGAACUGCACAACCAAUGAUGUGGCUUUGAGCUCGAUUUGUUGGGGAAGAGAGGUAUCCAUGGUAAAUUACAGAAAGUUGUGGAACAGAGACAGCAGGGAUCUGAAAGGUGUCAGUAGCAUGCUGUGCUCUCAUAGCAAGCAAUAUGAAAGCUCUAAACAGAGCUGUUCACUUAUUGCCUUUUAGAAGUCUUUUGGUGUCUCACCAUACAAGAAAAGACACUUCGGUGCAAAAAAGAAAACCGGAUCAUGUCAUGGGGGAAAGAUAGGGUAGGAUAGUACCCCUCUCUUUGGCAUCAAGUAGGAGGAGACUCUUGAGAGUGCCAUGGACUGCAAGAAAAUCAAACCUAUCCAUUCUGAAGAAAAUCAGCCCUGAGUGCUCACUGGAAGGACAGAUCCUGAAGCUGAGGCUCCAAUACUUUGGCCACAUCAUGAGAAGACUCCCUGGAAAAGACCCUGAUGCUGGGAAAGAUGGAGGGCCCAAGGAGAAGGGGACGACAGAGGACAAGAUGGUUGGACAGUGUUCUCAAAGCUAUGAACAUGAGUUUGACCAAACUGCAGGAGGCAGUGGAAGACAGGCGUGCCUGGCGUGCUCUGGUCCAUGGAGUCACGAAGAGUCGGACACGACUAAACGACUAAACAAUAAAAAGUUUUCUACAUGCCAGGAAUAUAUACCAGGCACGAAUUUAUCACCUCAGUGAAAAGUAGGCCUUCGUCUCAGUGCUCGAUAACCUGGGUGAAAUUUGUUGCACAUUCUUAUCAUCGGAAUAUGUAUCUUCUGCAGCAUAAGUUAAUAAACUGAGAUGAGAGGACUGACACGGAAAUCCCCCGUUCAUCCUGCAAAUACAAAGGCACACCAUAAUAAACAAACACGUUGAGCACCAUACUCAAACACUUCAAGUGUCAUAAUGUGUCAUCAGGGUUUUGACUUAUUCUGGCCAGCCUUAUGGGCUAGAGAGGAAAUGGAAAGUUGCAGGAUGAAGAGCUGUGUCUUUCUGAGGGAAAAUGCUUCCAGUCUUAUUUCUGAGAUAAUACCCUUCUGCUCUGCUUCUGAUAGCAAGCUGUAUCAACAACAGAUGCCUGUAACUAUGCCCACUUGGGCCCCCACACAGUGCACAAUUAUUGCUGGUCUUCAGACACAGUCCAGCUCUCAGUGCUUUUAUUUUAAUAAUGAUAUCGGCAAUGAAAAGGCUUGCAGUUUAUGAAGAGUAUAGAAGAUUCGCCAUCUUUGUGCCAUCUCACCCUACCAGUAGUUAUAUCUCCACUGAUGCGGAAAAACAAAUGUGUCAGCAUUGGCAAGUCUGUGAUGGAGUGAGGCACCAGGGAAGUGUGGCAUUCAGUCAAGGCCGACCCUACCAUAUGGGAGAUGAGGUAAUUGGCCUGAUGAGAAUGAGGAUGUAGAGCAGCAUCCCAACACUGGCCAUUCCUCCUAAGCAUUCUGGCCAUUCUCCUCUCUCGGAGUUCAGAACUGUGUGUGCCACAGCCCGGUAAUGUACCCCAAACUAGCUCCUCAGCUGCAUUGGGAACAAUGACCCCUCUGUCAUCGUUGCGGUAAAGUUUCCUCUGCCAGUUCAGUCAGCUGCUGUACAUACAAAUGGGAGCAGAGGCACCACCUCGUUCUUUGCUUCAGGUGGCAAAAGGUCUUGGGUCAGUCCUGAUUUCGGCAGCAGAAAUGUGAACCUGGAAGGAAAAAGACUAGCCCAAUAUGGUGUCUAGAAUGCUAUGUUUGCAGCUAGAGCAUAUUGAACAUACAACAUGUGCAAACCUAAUUUAUGUUUAUCAUGCAUAAUGGUUGCAACAAUGCGGAUAUAGCCCAAAUAAUCAGAGGUAUAUGGUGUAUCCGAAAAGGGGGGCUGCAACAACUCCUCCCUUCCCUACUUUUUUUAAAAAUCUUUUUUAUUUGAUUUUACAAAUAUAGAGUUAACACAAUAUCAAAUACAUAUCCAUAUCUAGAGAUUGCUCUGAAACUCGAGACUCCCCUCCAUGGGUCCUGUUGUCAACAUUUUCAACUGCAUAUUAUUUCGUAAUCUAUAUUUUGAAUCAAUCCAUAUUGUCCACAGUGUUUGUUACAUUACAAGUGUUAUUAAAAUCCUGCUAAUGGUUUCAUUUGCUUAUAGCGGUCUCCUAAAUAAAUUAUGGGACGCAGGUGGCACUGUGGGUUAAACCACAGAGCCUAGGGCUUGCUGAUCAGAAGACUGGCGGUUCGAAUCCCCGCGACGGGGUGAGCUCCUGUUGCUCAGUCCCUGCUCCUGCCAACCUAGCAGUUUAAAAGCACGUCAAAGUGCAAGGAGAUAAAUAGGUACCGCUCCAGCGGGAAGGUAAACGGUGUUUCCGUGCGCUGCUCUGGUUCGCCAGAAGCGGCUAAGUCAUGCUGGCCACAUGACCCGGAACCUGUACGCUGGCUCCCUCAGCCAAUAAAGUGAGAUGAGCACCUCAACCCCAGAGUUGUCCGCGACUGGACCUAAUGGUCGGGGUCCCUUUACCUUUAAAUAAAUUAUAAAUUUUUCCCAUUCUUUCUUGAAGUUUUUGUCUUCUUGGUUCCUGAGCUUUCCAGUCAGUUUUGCCAUUUCAGCAUAGUCUAUCAGCUUGAUUUGCCAUUCCUCUCUGGUGGGGAUUUUGUCUUCUUUCAUCUCUGGGCUAGUAGCACCCUUGCGGCUCUUGUCGCCUCCCUUCCCUACUAAGCCACUCCACAAACACAAUGUUCCUCUAACCUUCUGUAUCCCAGCUCCGCCCAUGGAAGCCCCUCGUGUUAGCCAUGACAGCUAAACUUCAUCUCCAGAUCCACCUCCAGGUUCUUAUCUUGGGAACAAAGCAAAAAGGACCAAUCUGUUGACCUUACACUCUGCUUGUAAUCCCUUCAGAGGCGUUUGCCUGGCCACUGUGGGAAAUAGAGGGUGAUACUUAACUGUCACAUCCCAUCAGUGCAAGGAUUUUUGCUUUCUCAAUAUAACUUCCAGUUAUUUGUUACAACCCCACAAAUAACUGGAAAUCUACAGGCAGUGAGGUUUCAUACACCAGGAUCUCUGUUGGAGGCUCUCCAGUUCAAAGAGCUGCAAAAGUGUGGCUGAAAUGCGGUGAGGCAAAAUCUCACCAAUGACGCAGUGAAACUAACCCGCUGUACAAGCUAAAUCUUAAGUCUGAAUCUUAAGUCAACGUUACUUUGGGUCUAGCGAUACUUCAAGCUGACAGUCUGUUUCUGUGUACAAAGUUCAAGUAUGCCGUUUGUGUAAUGCUUUGUAUUUUACCUUUCUUUUUGGUCCUAGCAAAGAAGUAAUAACCCAGGCAAGCGAAAUAUCAGCCUGCAGUGCAGUGCCAGCUGUAAUGCACAUCAUGCCUCAAAUAUAUUUGCAGCACUGGCUCUGAGGUCACAUAGUUCAGUGGAGCAUCUGGAACGGGUCUGAACAAAUCCUUGCAUAUUUUGCCAUUGAAAUAAAAUACGUUGAAAGAAGCAGCUGGAGCUUCCACUCACCUCCAAUCAGAGCUUGUCCAAGGGCUCAUUGCAAACAACAGGCAUCUUAGCAUGAAUGAAAUAUGUACCAUUCUUAUUCAACACUCAGGCCAGUGAGACAGUGAAAAAGGUAUGCAUGAAUUAUACUAUGUUUUGGUAUAAACAGCUAAGUGUUAGUCAUGGAGGAUAUGAACAUAUAAAAUUAUUUCUUUCUUUGGCAAUCACUUGUAGCUGAGUAAGAUUGUCUUCCCUGAAUCCUGAUCAUUUUGCUUAAACUUUUGCUCUGUAAUCACCCUACUCCUAAUUAAAACAGCUAUACAGUGGUACCUCAGGUUACAGACGCUUCAGGUUACAGACUCCACUAACCCAGAAAUAGUACCUCAGGUUAAGAACAUUGCUUCAGGAUGAGAACAGAAAUCAUGCUGUGGCGGUGCGGUGGCAGCAGGAGGCCCCAUUAGCUAAAGUAGUACCUCAGGUUAAGAACAGUUUCAGGUUAAGAAUGGACCUCCAGAACAAAUUAAGUUCUUAACCCGAG